UUUGAUUAAUCUCGAGUCUCGGGUGGUCGUGAAUGAGGACAUUGGUCGGCAAAUUCUCACCUAUGGUUGCAGGAAACCCGCAAAGGAGUUUAUCGACACCGUUCG
Selaginella moellendorffii is the source of this 105-nucleotide long non-coding RNA. RefSeq lists it as uncharacterized. The transcript has 3 exons. NCBI's taxonomy places the organism in Eukaryota, Viridiplantae, Streptophyta, Lycopodiopsida, Selaginellales, Selaginellaceae. The record is from RefSeq and is a predicted model, not a curated record.